RNAcentral lists this ribosomal RNA (402 nucleotides) under uncultured Maricaulis sp. RNAcentral's name for it is "bacterial SSU rRNA". It matches the Rfam family "Bacterial small subunit ribosomal RNA", at positions 516 to 918 of the family's 1533-position model. The record is from RNAcentral. Lineage: Bacteria; Pseudomonadati; Pseudomonadota; Alphaproteobacteria; Maricaulales; Maricaulaceae.
CGCGGUAAUACGGAGGGGGCUAGCGUUGUUCGGAAUUACUGGGCGUAAAGCGCUCGUAGGCGGAUUGGUCAGUCAGGGGUGAAAGCCCGGAGCUCAACUCCAGAACUGCCUUUGAUACUGCCAGUCUUGAGUUCGGGAGAGGUGAGCGGAAUACCGAGUGUAGAGGUGAAAUUCGUAGAUAUUCGGUGGAACACCAGAGGCGAAGGCGGCUCACUGGACCGAUACUGACGCUGAGGAGCGAAAGCGUGGGGAGCAAACAGGAUUAGAUACCCUGGUAGUCCACGCCGUAAACGAUGAGAGCUAGUUGUCUGGCAGCAUGCUGUUAGGUGACGCAGCUAACGCAUUAAGCUCUCCGCCUGGGGAGUACGGCCGCAAGGUUAAAACUCAAAGAAAUUGACGGGG